Molecule: non-coding RNA, 45 nt
Organism: Schistosoma curassoni
Lineage: Eukaryota; Metazoa; Platyhelminthes; Trematoda; Strigeidida; Schistosomatidae
Source: Rfam
AUCCAGCUGACGAGUCCCGAAUGGGAGGAAACAGGCGUCUUGGAU